Molecule: long non-coding RNA, 553 nt
Organism: Portunus trituberculatus (swimming crab)
Lineage: Eukaryota; Metazoa; Arthropoda; Malacostraca; Decapoda; Portunidae
Exons: 8
Source: RefSeq, a predicted model, not a curated record
AAGUAAUCUAAACGCCAGAGUGCUUGUGAGCGGAAACUAUCGAGAAAUACCAGCACCAUCCUUCACCAUGACGCUUUCCUGACAUGACCCAAAGGUGGAGGAGGUCACCAAGAUCACGUGAUCAGCAGAGGAAGGUCCGGAAAGUGUUGAAAGCAGGGGGGAGUGCCGCCGCCGCCGCCCCGUCACCACCACCACCGCCGCCGCAGCCGCCCUUAUGAUAUGCAGCGUUGUGAGAACUGAGCUUACCGGUGGCAGAAUCCAAAUAGUUUUCCUCGUCCUUCAUCCCAACCUGAUCUGGUUAGCUGUGUCCUCGCUGGCUCCAAACCCCCCAGAGAGAGAGAGAGAAAAGGUGGGGAAGGAGAGAUGGGAAGGAACUACAGGUGUGCUCAGGUCAACAAAUCUCGCCACACCUUGAAUUAACAGGCGUGACUUCCAGAGCACUGGGUGAUGGGCAAGGCUUCGAGCAGCCUUCAUCGUGCCCGCCUCUCAUGCAGCACAGACCACAGCAUCGCCAGGGCUCGUCUCCCAGGGCUAGCAGACGAAGGAAGAGCAG